UAAAAUUCAUGCAACCCAGAUGAGCUAACGAGACCAGCACCGCCAGAGGCGCUAGUGUAUUUUUACUCGCAUUAAUGGUAAAUUUAUUUUAAAGUGUAUGAAAACCGAUUCGUUUGCAAUCCGUGCCACAUCCGAAGUGACCGUCUGCGGCCAAAAAGCGGUGGCCAACAGAUCACGUAUUAUGAACCGUAAAAAAAUUAAAUAAAAAGUGUCGCUGGAAGAAAAUGUGAUGUGGCGGCUGCCGGACUCGGAUGUUUGAAAAUCGGAAGCGAUACGCCGGAAAUAAGCAAAAACCGGGUCACAGCUAAACGUGGCUAAACACACCGUUGCUAUUAUUUACGGUUAUUUAAGGGCAGGUCUUGUUCGAAACAUCAAAAGCGAAGCGGAUUUAAUUCCUCCUGACGAUCAAAAUAAGUCCUUUCGGCUCGUUGACGAGAAGUGAAUACGAAUGUCUUGCGAAUGAGAACAGACAGACAGACAGACUUUUAGUCAAACUCAAUGUUAAAAAGAUAUAUCUGACAACGUCGAGCACAUCGGACAAUUCCGAUAUUGUGCGUAAAACAGACUGGACGGAGUACUGAAGCUGAAUUCCUAGCCCGGUGGGAUCUACAUAAAUACACGAUGCAUGCAUAACCCAUUAUAUAAGCAUGAAACACACGAUCUACUAAUGAAGAAUAUAUCAUCAAAUGUAGCACCGUUUGUCAGGUGUCAGGUGAUUUCGUGUACGACAAUGAAAAGGCCUCCAAGUCAUCGGUUAACAUCGUGGGAUUCAGGGUGGCUACAAAUCGACGGAUAUGAAGAUUAUGAAGUAUAGCGUGGCUUUAGUUUCCUGUGAGAUAAUUUUGAAAUUGCCAGCAAGGAAAACGGUAAAUGUAAAAUAAAUAAAAUAAAUAAAA
This is a long non-coding RNA of Armigeres subalbatus, 896 nucleotides long. RefSeq lists it as uncharacterized. The transcript has 3 exons. Lineage: Eukaryota; Metazoa; Arthropoda; Insecta; Diptera; Culicidae. The record is from RefSeq and is a predicted model, not a curated record.